UACGGAGGAUGCAAGCGUUAUCCGGAAUUAUUGGGCGUAAAGCGCGCGCAGGCGGUCCUUUAAGUCUGAUGUGAAAGCCCACGGCUCAACCGUGGAGGGUCAUUGGAAACUGGGGGACUUGAGUACAGAAGAGAAGAGUGGAAUUCCACGUGUAGCGGUGAAAUGCGUAGAGAUGUGGAGGAACACCAGUGGCGAAGGCGACUCUUUGGUCUGUAACUGACGCUGAGGCGCGAAAGCGUGGGGAGCAAACAGG
Molecule: ribosomal RNA, 253 nt
Filed under: uncultured bacterium
Lineage: Bacteria
Description: partial 16S ribosomal RNA
Rfam family: Bacterial small subunit ribosomal RNA
Source: RNAcentral